GCUCAGCUGUGACUUUGCCUGGAUUAUGGCAAUGACAAAAUCGCUAAAUACCUGCAUUAUGUUAUUAAUUGCUGUAAGCUCUGUGGAAGAGACUGCCAUAUUUUUUUUUUUUUUUUUUUUUUUUUUUUGUUUUCCUCUCCUUUUAACGAGCGCGCCUGCUUUGUGGAGAUGCCGGGGGGCCGGGGGCUACCCAGCAACCCCCCGCCUUUGGCGGGGCGGGCUCUGAUGGGGGAAAAAAGCACCGAUUCCUGAAAUUCCAGGCUCCGGGAAGCACCAGUUCCCCCCCCCGGGGGCGAGGGGGGUGUGGGGGGGUCUCUGGCGGGGCUGGGAGCCCCAGCAGGGCGGUGGCUCAGCCCGUAGAGCGCCGGGUUGGCAUGCGGGAGAUGCAGGUUCGAUACUCGCCUCUGACAUUUUUGUCUCUGGAGAGCGUGUGUGUAUGGGGUGCGGGGGGAAUGUGUGUGUGUGUGUGGACACGCGUGUGUGUGUGUGUGUGUGUGCACUGCUCUGUGUGGAUGUGUUUGGGUGUGUGUAUUUAUAUAGGGUGGGCACACGUGCAUGUACAUGUGUUUGUGUGCACACGCGUGCAUGUACAUGUGCCUGUGUCUAUAAUGUGUGUGCACACAGAUGUGUAUAUGGACGUGCAUGUGUGUGCAUACAUGUGUAUAGGUGUGUGCAUACAUGUAUGUAUAGGUGUGCAUGCUUGUGUGUACAUGUAUAGGUACACGUGUGUCUAUAGGUGUGUGCACAUACAUGGCUGCACAUACACACGUUAUAUAAACGCAUGUGUUUACAUGUGCAUGUAUGUAUAGAUGUGUGCACACACGUGCACAUGCGUGUUCUUUUGCACGUGUGUGCGUAUACCUGUGUGUGUGAGUGUAUAGACACGUGUGUGUCGCGCACACGUGUGCACAGCUGUGUGUGCGUGCUCCUGUGCACACGCGUGUGCGCGUGCCGGCUCUGUGCACACACCUGUACGUGCCCGUACAUACGCGUGCGUGUCCCCGCGCGCCACCGGGAGGGGGCGGGGUCGUGAGGGGGCGGGGCCAAUAGGAGGCGUGUCCCACGGGCGGGUCAGGGGCAGCGCUGCGGCCGGUUGCCGAGGCGCCGUCCAAUAGGCGCGCUGGUUGCUAGGGGGUGGUGGGCCAAUGGGCGUGCGCGUUGCUGUUGCCAGGCGGCGCGGCGGGGCGGGCCGGGGCGAUGAGCGGGCCGCGGCGGCCCGGCAGCCAUGGAGAUCCGCUGCGGCGGGCUGCUCUUCAGCUCCCGCUUCGACUCGGGGAACCUGGCGCACGUCGAGCAGGUGGAGCCGCCCGGGGCCGGAGGGGGGCCCGCAGGCUGCGGCGCCGCGCUGCCCCCCGCCGACU
RNAcentral lists this long non-coding RNA (1361 nucleotides) under Calidris pugnax (ruff). RNAcentral describes it as "lncRNA (ENSCPUG00000017738.1)". The record is from RNAcentral. Lineage: Eukaryota; Metazoa; Chordata; Aves; Charadriiformes; Scolopacidae.